GUAGGGAAUAUUGGGCAAUGGAUGCAAGUCUGACCCAGCCAUCCCGCGUGCCGGAAGAAGGCCCUCAGGGUUGUAAACGGCUUUUGACGGUGAAGAAUCGACAGGAUGCGUCCUGUUUUGACGGUAGCCGUUGAAUAAGCACCGGCUAACUCCGUGCCAGCAGCCGCGGUAAUACGGAGGGUGCGGGCGUUGUCCGGAUUUAUUGGGUUUAAAGGGUGCGUAGGCUGGAAGGUCAGUCAGCGGUGAAAAGCUGUCGCUUAACGAUAGUCUUGCCGCAGAUACUUCCAUUCUUGGAUGAGGAGGAGGCCACUGGAACGGAUGGUGUAGCGGUGAAAUGCAUAGAUAUCAUCCAGAACACCGAUUGCGAAGGCAGGUGGCUGUACCUUAAUCGACGCUGAUGCACGAAAGCAUGGGGAGCAAACAGGAUUAGAAACCCGUGUAGUCC
RNAcentral lists this ribosomal RNA (445 nucleotides) under uncultured bacterium. RNAcentral describes it as "partial 16S ribosomal RNA". It matches the Rfam family "Bacterial small subunit ribosomal RNA", at positions 354 to 796 of the family's 1533-position model. The record is from RNAcentral.